Non-coding RNA from Prunus mume (Japanese apricot), 280 nucleotides. NCBI's taxonomy places the organism in Eukaryota, Viridiplantae, Streptophyta, Magnoliopsida, Rosales, Rosaceae. The record is from RefSeq and is a predicted model, not a curated record.
CUUCACACCCCAUGAGGAGGAAUUGAUUGUCAGGCUUCAUGCAACCGUAGGUAGCAGGUGGUCUAUAAUACCACAGCAACUUCCUGGGAGGACAGACAAUAAUGUAAAGAACUACUGGAACACUAGGCUGAAAAAGAAGCUCUCAGAAACGGAAAUUGAUUCUGUUACUCAAAGUUUACGUAAAGAAUUACUUUGUUAUAUUUUCGACUUCCUUGUAUUUUGAUGGGGGCAAAAGCAAAUAGGUAGUUAAUUGCUUUGUUAAAUUUGGAUAUGUUUUGAG